This 304-nucleotide ribosomal RNA is filed under the name uncultured bacterium. RNAcentral describes it as "partial 16S ribosomal RNA". It matches the Rfam family "Bacterial small subunit ribosomal RNA", at positions 506 to 807 of the family's 1533-position model. The record is from RNAcentral.
CAGCAGUAGCCACGGGAAUACAGAGGGUGCGAGCGUUAAUCGGAUUUACUGGGCGUAAAGCGUGCGUAGGCGGCUUUUUAAGUCGGAUGUGAAAUCCCUGAGCUUAACUUAGGAAUUGCAUUCGAUACUGGGAAGCUAGAGUAUGGGAGAGGAUGGUAGAAUUCCAGGUGUAGCGGUGAAAUGCGUAGAGAUCUGGAGGAAUACCGAUGGCGAAUGCAGCCAUCUGGCCUAAUACUGACGCUGAGGUACGAAAGCAUGGGGAGCAAACAGGAUUAGAUACCCGCGUAGUCCCUGUCUCUUAUAC